This 616-nucleotide ribosomal RNA is filed under the name uncultured bacterium. RNAcentral's name for it is "bacterial SSU rRNA". It matches the Rfam family "Bacterial small subunit ribosomal RNA", at positions 338 to 944 of the family's 1533-position model. The record is from RNAcentral.
CCUACGGGAGGCAGCAGUAGGGAAUCUUCCGCAAUGGACGAAAGUCUGACGGAGCAACGCCGCGUGAACGAUGAAGGCCUUCGGGUCGUAAAGUUCUGUUGUUAGGGAAGAACAAGUGUUAGUUGAAUAAGCUGGCACCUUGACGGUACCUAACCAGAAAGCCACGGCUAACUACGUGCCAGCAGCCGCGGUAAUACGUAGGUGGCAAGCGUUGUCCGGAAUUAUUGGGCGUAAAGCGCGCGCAGGCGGUUUCUUAAGUCUGAUGUGAAAGCCCCCGGCUCAACCGGGGAGGGUCAUUGGAAACUGGGAAACUUGAGUGCAGAAGAGGAAAGUGGAAUUCCAAGUGUAGCGGUGAAAUGCGUAGAGAUUUGGAGGAACACCAGUGGCGAAGGCGACUUUCUGGUCUGUAACUGACGCUGAGGCGCGAAAGCGUGGGGAGCAAACAGGAUUAGACACCCUGGUAGUCCACGCUGUAAACGAUGAGUGCUAAGUGUUAGAGGGUUUCCGCCCUUUAGUGCUGAAGUUAACGCAUUAAGCACUCCGCCUGGGGAUCGGUCGCAAGACUGAAACUCAAAGNUAGUGCGNGNGAGCGCGACGACGACGACGACGGAGGAGG